Molecule: long non-coding RNA, 2828 nt
Filed under: Homo sapiens (human)
Lineage: Eukaryota; Metazoa; Chordata; Mammalia; Primates; Hominidae
Description: non-protein coding lnc-BLOC1S4-2:3
Source: RNAcentral
AGUGGCCAGGCCGCAGGAAGGCAGGCGGGAGCAGCCCGGGAGGACUCACCAAGUUCUUAUUUUGCUUUUAAAGCCUCCAGCUCCUGGCCCAGGGAGCCAGGUACAGUCAACCUGUUGGAAAAGUGCCUCCUUCUCAGGGAAGCCUCGGGCAUGGGAAAAAGCUAGGAUGCUCAGAACCAAACAGGAACUGAAAGUCAGCCCAGCCAAGUCCUUCAUUUCACAGCUGAGGAAACUGAGGCCCAGAGAGGCUGACCUGCUUGGGGUCACGCACACGUAGGGUGGUGCAGGCCUGUGAUCUUUGCACUGGGCCCCCAGACCUCUCUGGAGAGACGUCACACUCCUCAGAACCAGCAAGCUGCUGGGUGAUGCCACAGGACUCCCUGAAAAACCGGCCCGUUGAAGACCAGCACAGGGUGGGCAGGAGGGUCCCCAGACGGACCUGAGGCCCAGUCCUGGCCCUGCCAGUUUCUAACAGGGUGGCCCUGGGCAGGUGUCUUACCCUCUCUAGGCCUCAGUCUCCCCUCUGGCCACCUGCUGGGAUCUCCAGGGGAGUUCAGUGAGUGGCAGUGUGCGGUCAGCCCGGUGCACACGGGGUUCCCUCUGUGCUCACCAAACCUCAGAGGAGGUGGCCCUGGAGCCUUGAAGAAGAGGACGCCUCCUGCCUGCCGCUGCUGGGGGAAAGCCCACCUGGCCCUCCGACGCACAUAUACACACGGACAGGACAGCUUGAGAGCACGCGGAGAAUUUGCUUCUCCUGAGAGCAGGCUGGAGUUCAGGGGUCAGAGCGGGUGAAUUUGGGCUUUCCCUCUGCAAAACUCACGUGUGAAACCCACUCAUUUGUGCAACAAAUAUUUGCCGAGUGCUUGCUGUGUACAAGGUCCUGCCCCAGGGCGGGAGACAGAGCCAUGACCAAAGCAAACAGAAUCCUGCCCCAUCGUCCUUACUUCCAGAGGGCGGGAUCAUCAACAAGAGUCACAAAUGAUCAAACGCACAUGGGGAGUAAAUAGUGAUUGCGGAGCAGGGAUCGGAGAGGGAUCGGUGCCAAUGAGAAAAGAGUUGAGCAGAGCAAGGGACUAGGAAGCGACGGGGAUGGGAAUUUUAGAGGGGACCCAGAAAGGACCAGCCCGAGCAGGUGACCUCUGAACACAGAGAGGAAUGAGGGUGAUAGAAUUGCUCAGCCUCCACGAGGUAGGAAAUCCCAGAAGACAAGGAGGUCCAUGAAGCGGGGGAUGAGAAUCCCACCAGUUUGAAACGUGCCACGUUGGUGACGCUCCUUCCUUGAGGCUUCUUUGUCCCCCUCCCCAACCUCAUUUCACACUCUGCUCCUCACACAAUAGAGUCUCAGAAGGCCAUGGCCACAAAGGGUCAGGGCACCAGCCUUGGGACAAGACCCAAAUCAUCAACCAGAUGUCACAGCUGCUGACCCUGGCCUCACCCAGCCGCCCUCUGCCUUGCCUCCUGCGCCCACCCCAAGCCUUGACAAGAGCUGUUCCCUCCAUUAGGAACGUGCUCCCUUCACUGUCCGCCCGCAGAGGUGCACAUCUUCCGGGUCUCACACGUGGUGAUGACUCAGACAACUCAGCCAACUACUCAUUGACUGAAUGAAUACAUUCACAGUUGUGUCUCCAGGGUCCUCAACUGAUUCCAUACAUUAGCUGCGUACCUGCCGUGUACCAUCCCUCUUUCUCAGAUUUUCAGUCAGCAAUCAGGAGACCUGGGUUUCAGCUGCGUGACUUGGAGCAAGUCACGUGUCUUCUCUGGCCCUCAAUUACAAUCAAAUCUUUCAGAGCUGGAAGGGAUCGUAGAGUUCUCCAGUCUAAGCCCUUGCCCGAUGCAUGGGACAGCUCUGCUGCAUCCACGUUCUGUCAUGACCCAGUCUCUCCUUGUUCACCUCCAGAGACAGGGAGUUCACUACCAAACUCCCAAGAAGGUUCACUCCUGGGUAUCUUCCAGAGUCAAUGAAGAUCCCUCAGACUGGAAAAGGCGUAGGCAUUAGCAGACCUGGUUCAGAUCAUACUUCUAGCUCUAUGACCUUGGGCACGUCACUUAACCUUUGUGAGCCCAAGGUUUACUAUCCGUAAAACGAGGAUCAUAAUGUUUUCUGUUGGAGUUGUCUCAAGGAUCAAGCAAGAUGGCCAGGAAGUGCCCGGCACACUGUAGACUCCGGAGACAUUUAAGAGAUGUCAAAUAUACACUAAGGAGCUCCACGUCCUGAUUACUACAGCACUUCCCAGGACCUAGACUCUGCGUCGUUCCAGAUGACAGUGUGGAAAUGCAGAGAACACACAGAAGGAAUGCAGGGAAAAGAUGCAAAAUGCAAAUAGCUGUCAGAUUUGGGGCAGCAAUCCAAUUUUUCUGUGGUUGUCCUGGGACAUGGAUGAAGUGGCUUCCCUGCGAGUUCCCCAGCCGUGCGCUGACUCUGCUGUCUGGCGGUCAUGCACCCCCACGUGCAGGAAGAGGCUCCAACCCUACCUUAGAAGAGCUGGGGCCUCUGUGAGCUCCACCCACCCUGGGGGCAGCAGCUGACCUGGCUCUGGCCCUUUGGCCUGCUGCCUGCACAUGGUCAGUGCUGCCAGAGAGCCUGGCCUGCCCAGAGAGGGCUGACCUUGACCUCUAAACUGGACCUAGGGGAUGUCUUCUGGGCAGACCUUCAACCAACAGCAAACAUCAUUUCCACGUGCCUUCAAACAAACAAGUACAAAUUACACUCCUAAAUUACAGAGACUGGGAAAACUACCUCCUCCUGCUCUGGUUUGCUUUUGAAGAGGUAUCCUUGGAAUCAUGAUCUUCAAACUUUCUGGACUCAUAUAAGCCUUAAACAUUUUCGG